RNAcentral lists this transfer RNA (35 nucleotides) under Oxalis virgata. RNAcentral describes it as "partial tRNA-Phe". Lineage: Eukaryota; Viridiplantae; Streptophyta; Magnoliopsida; Oxalidales; Oxalidaceae. The record is from RNAcentral.
GUCGGGAUAGCUCAGCUGGUAGACAGAGGACUGAA